GUUGAACGCUGGCGGCAUGCCUAACACAUGCAAGUCGAGCGGAGAAAGGGAGGUUUCUCCUGGAUUCAGCGUCGGACGGGUGAGUAAUGCCUAUGAAUCUGCCGGGUGGUAGGGGGUGACGUCCGUAAACGAGCGCUGAUACCACAUACUUCCUGAAGGAGAUACUUGGGGUUCUUCUGACCUCACGCUUUCAGAUGAUACUAGGUCGGAUUAGCUAGUUGGGGGGGUAAAGGCCUCCCAAGGCUACGAUCCGUAACUGGUCUGAGAGGAUGAUCAGUCACCCUGGACCUGAGCCACGGUCCAGCCUCCUCCGGGAGGCAGCAGUGGGGAAUAUUGGACAAUGGGCGAAAGCCUGCUCCAGAAAUGCGGGGUGUGUGAAGAAGGUCUUCGGACUGUAAAGUCUGUUAAGUUGGGAGGAAGGGCAGUAAGUUAAUAACUUGAUGUUUUGACGUUAUCAACCGAAUAAGCAACGGCUAACUUCGUG
Molecule: ribosomal RNA, 484 nt
Filed under: uncultured bacterium
Lineage: Bacteria
Description: partial 16S ribosomal RNA
Rfam family: Bacterial small subunit ribosomal RNA
Source: RNAcentral